This 470-nucleotide unclassified non-coding RNA is filed under the name Melitaea cinxia (Glanville fritillary). RNAcentral describes it as "misc RNA ENSMCXG00005017585.1". The record is from RNAcentral. Lineage: Eukaryota; Metazoa; Arthropoda; Insecta; Lepidoptera; Nymphalidae.
CUUUAUUGGAUUUUCACAAUAGUGAAACAGCAAGACCUAUUACAUUUCCCCAAACAUUUUACCUAUUAAGUGAAUAUUUUGUUUUCUUUUGAAAUCUAAAACCCAGUCGCAAACGAACAGUAUUACGAAUUGUAGGUAGGUACCUACUAUAUAUAUAUAAAAAUUGAAAUCUCAAUUGAUAUUAUAAAGAGAAAAGAUUUAUUUUCACCAUCCUUUUAUUAGCUUGGGUUGUAUGAAUGUAUGUAAUGGAAUCUUUGAGCAUAAUUUUCACCAAUUUCCAGAAGUUUGAUUAAUUUGAAACUUUGCACACGUAUCAAAGACCGAUGACAAUGCAAUAAUUCAAUAACAGUUUCCCAAUAUCCUUAUUAGGACCGCCAGAAUUAAUAAAUUCUUUCCUGGAUCUUCUGUAAGGUGUGGCGACAUCUAUCGCGCGACAUACGAACUACGUAACUAAGAACUGACGUGUCCUA